RNAcentral lists this ribosomal RNA (491 nucleotides) under uncultured bacterium. RNAcentral's name for it is "partial 16S ribosomal RNA". It matches the Rfam family "Bacterial small subunit ribosomal RNA", at positions 28 to 507 of the family's 1533-position model. The record is from RNAcentral.
AUUGAACGCUGGCGGCAUGCUUUACACAUGCAAGUCGAACGGUAACAGGCCUUCGGGUGCCGACGAGUGGCGGACGGGUGAGUAAUGCAUCGGAACGUACCCAGAGGUGGGGGAUAACGCAGCGAAAGCUGUGCUAAUACCGCAUGUGAUCUGAGGAUGAAAGCGGGGGACCGAGCAGCAAUGUUUGGCCUCGCGCCUUUGGAGCGGCCGAUGUGGGAUUAGCUAGUGGGGGGGGUAAAGGCCUACCAAGGCGACGAUCCGUAGCUGGUCUGAGGGGACGGCCGGCCCACGUGGGCCUGAAACCCGGCCCGGCCCCCUAGGGAGGGCGCCGGUGGGAAAUUUUGGCAAAGGGGGGCAAGCCUGACCAAGAAAUGCCGGUGGGGGGAAGAAGGCCUUCGGGUGGUAACCGCUUUUGGCAGGAACGAAACGGUGUCCGCUAAUACCGGGCGCUAAUGACGGUACCUGCAGAAUAAGCACCGGCUAACUACGUG